GAUGAACGCUGGCGGCGUGCCUAAUACAUGCAAGUCGAGCGAACAGAUGAGGAGCUUGCUCCUCUGACGUUAGCGGCGGACGGGUGAGUAACACGUGUAUAACCUACCUAUAAGACUGGGAUAACUUCGGGAAACCGGAUCUAAUACCGUAUAAUAUAUUGCACCGCAUGGUUCAAUAGUGAAAGACGGUUUUGCUGUCACUUAUAGAUGGAUCCGCGCCGCAUUAGCUAGUUGGUAAGGUAACGGCUUACCAAGGCAACGAUGCGUAGACGACCUGAGAGGGUGAUCGGCCACACGGGAAGUGAGACACGGUCCAGAGUCCUAAGGGAGGGCGCAGUAGGGAAUCGGAGGCAGUAGGCGAAAGCAUGACGGAGCAAGGCCGCGCGAGUGAUGAAGGUCUUCGGAUCGUAAAACUGUGUUAUUAGGGAAGAACAAAUGUGUAAGGAACCAUGCACGGAUUGACGGUAACGGAUAAGGAAGCAACGGCUAACUACGUG
Molecule: ribosomal RNA, 497 nt
Filed under: uncultured bacterium
Lineage: Bacteria
Description: partial 16S ribosomal RNA
Rfam family: Bacterial small subunit ribosomal RNA
Source: RNAcentral